Wyeomyia smithii (pitcher-plant mosquito) is the source of this 1239-nucleotide long non-coding RNA. RefSeq lists it as uncharacterized. The record is from RefSeq and is a predicted model, not a curated record. The transcript has 3 exons. Lineage: Eukaryota; Metazoa; Arthropoda; Insecta; Diptera; Culicidae.
CAGUCACAACAAUUUGACAAGACUCGGUAUCGGUGGUGAAUACAAGAUCCAAGUAGGUGCUGUUGGCGUUCGGCAAAUCGCAAAUUUGCAUCAGUGCAGCUGACAGCAAACCAUCAACAAUGGCAGCUUCACUCUGAGGAGUAAUUCGAUCAGUUUGGCAGGUUGAAAUCCCCACAAACGACGACCGUAUCAUUCGGACCAGCGGCUUCAACCAUAGACUCAACAAAAAACGACGAACGAAUCGUAACGACGAGUGUUAGAGCUCGGGCAAACUCCGUGCUGGCGAUUCGACGAUGGAUGGCAACAAGUGCACCACCACCAGUUAGUUUGUCACUGUUGACCGAACUUCGAUCGCAGCGGUAAACGGAAAAACAAGCGGGAAACAACAUACCAUCCUGUACGUCAGAGUCCAAGUAAGUUUCAACCAUUGCGUAUGCAUCGUAGUCCAACUCCAGUGAUGACAAAUACAAGUGUUUUUGCCUUUGGACACCUUUAAUACUGUGCAUGUUGAAGUUUCAAGUUUCUUACUGUUAACGUCGUUAAGAUUCGUUAAAAUUUUCAUCUUAUUUUAAUUCCAAGUUUUUGAUUUGUUUUUUUUUUAUUUAUCAUUGUUUAUCUGUUGGCACCUAAACUUGUUUUAUUUUCCACAUGAUAACGAUCUAAGAUUUCUACUCAUUUUAUAUUUUCAAUUAGAUGACAUCCAUAAAUUACGCAAUGCAAAAAACAAUUUAACCCCCACCCUCAUAUGUAACAAAAUUCAGCCCAAAACAACAUAGACCAGAGAAGCAGAUAUUUCAAGGUGUAGUAAAGAGGGCAAUGUAUGUAGUUUGACGAGAAUGCGAAAAAUGAACAAAGACAGGUGGGAUAUAGCCUUUAAAAAAAUGUUGCUCAUCCAGACGGGACUGCAACCCGUCAUCUCUGAUGUCUCCCGUGAGGUGUUGAAAUUUCUUUAAUGUAUAAAGAAAGCAUACAAAAGUUUAUGCUGAAAACAUUUCUAAAAUCCAGAAGAUGUCGAAAACAAAUGAACUUGAAUAUAAUUUUAAAUGACUAAAAUAACGUUCAAUGAAAAAACUAAAAAUCUAGAAAUGUAUCGAAGGUAAGAACAAAUUCAAGAGAAAAGGAGUUAUAAAAUUUCCUCGAAACGGUUCGAACCUAUUGUAAAUAAAAAGUGAGUUCUAGUUUUAAGUCCAACUGAAAAAAACUUUUGAAAGGCAGUUAAAACCAGAAACGAAAAUAAUA